GUGCCGUUGGUGUAGGGGUAACACACAAUCUGAGUUUGUUGAUAAAUCCGCCUAUCCAGGUUGAGUCCUGGGUUCGAAUCCCAGACGGCGCA
Molecule: non-coding RNA, 92 nt
Organism: Mycena epipterygia
Lineage: Eukaryota; Fungi; Basidiomycota; Agaricomycetes; Agaricales; Mycenaceae
Source: the annotation of a GenBank genome assembly